GAUGAAGAACGUAGCGAAAUGCGAUAAGUAAUGUGAAUUGCAGAAUUCAGUGAAUCAUCGAAUCUUUGAACGCACAUUGCGCCCGCCAGUAUUCUGGCGGGCAUGCCUGUUCGAGCGUCAUUUCAACCCUCAAGCCCCAGCGGCCUGGUGUUGGGGACCGGCGACCUCGCCCGAGCCCGCCCUCCGGGGCGCGUGCCCGGUGCGUCCGCCGCCCCCGAAAUGAAUUGGCGGCCUCGUCGCGGCCUCCUCUGCGUAGUAGCACAACCUCGCAAGCGGGAGCGCGACGCGGCCACUGCCGUAAAACGCCCAACUUUUUUAGAGUUGACCUCGGAUCAGGUAGGAAUACCCGCUGAACUUAAGCAUAUCAAAAGCGGAGGA
This 378-nucleotide unclassified non-coding RNA is filed under the name soil metagenome. Its description in RNAcentral is "partial contains 5.8S ribosomal RNA, internal transcribed spacer 2, and large subunit ribosomal RNA". The stretch from base 1 to 120 matches the Rfam family "5.8S ribosomal RNA", at positions 35 to 154 of the family's 154-position model. The record is from RNAcentral.